AAAUUUUAAGGUCAUAACUAGUAUUCAGAGUUUGCCUUGAUUUGGUACCGCUCUCGCGGUCAUGAAUAAUUAGUUUUAAUGAAACCACACAAUCUUGCUACUUAUUUCAAUGUAUGAAAAUGAUACUACUAAAUACAGGAACCAAAGGCAAAGUCUCUAGAGAAAAUUGAGGGUCACCCUCUGUGGUGGAAGGUCAGAUAUCUCAUUCAUUUUUCUGUUUUUCUUCAUGCGAGCUCUCUGUAUGCGUAUUAGUUAGUUAGAAAAAACACGAAGACGUCUAAAUUUAUUUUUAUAGCAGAAGAACAGAGUUUGUGAGGUGAAAAUUACAUUUUUUUUCCAGUUGUUUCUUUUCCUUUCGUAGUAGUUUUUCCUGCAAUAAUUAAGGGGUCAACAUGAUACUAAUUCAUCCUAAAACUAGUUUACAGGAUGCGCGGAUGGAAAUGAAAACGCGUACCUUGUCAUGAAGAUCCUUAACAUAUUCAAGCAUCAACUGUGUCUGCACAAAACAAAACUAUUUAGAGUUGCUUCAUUCUCAGGUACUAACUCAAAAGGAAUCAGAUUAUAAUACUGAAGUCGCAACAUUAUUUAAAAAAACAAAGAAAUCGUAUAGAGUUGCGAAUGAAAACAACAUUGAUGAGUAAAGCUAGAGGCAUUAAGAAGGAAAGCUGGUACUUUUAGGGCAAGGUACAUAGGAGUAUAGAAAGACCUUUCUAAAUCUGAUUUGCAUUAGAGCAGUUUGAAGUUCGUUUUCCAAAUGGACAAGGUCAGUUACAGCGGGACCAUCAGCAUUAGUUUCCUCGAGUUGCCUGUCAAAUUGCGACGGAGCAUCAGUGGUAUAAGCUUUAUGAAAUGUAAGUGAAGUAUCAGAUCAGUACCUUUCUGUUUCUUGUAGCAGUUCUCCCGUUGUCAUGCUUGAGUAUGUAGUGUGCUGUGUUCACCUCAGAAUGAUUAGAAAACUCUCCGCACCAAAAAUGUUUAAGUAUGUUUAUUCAAGACAACAUUGAAUAGUUGGAGCAUUGCAAAAUACGCAAUGCAUCGAUGAUAAGCUACUAAUCAACCAUAUUAGCUAUAUGAAUGAACAACUAUUCAGAGCAUACUUCCAGGAUUUGCUAAUAUACUAUACAUUUAUUUAAUGACCCGUGGUGUUCGGGCUAACUUUCGCACACCUGGACUAAUUCCAUGGGAUACCUGCCACCUCCCAUCAGCAACAUGUACCAAGUAACUCAGUCCAUCAAGGCUAGGACACAUGGGAAGAAUCACCUUAUAAUGUAGGAACUUACAUGGAUUUCACAGAAAUAGUUCCAGCUAUAUAUUGAUCUCUGACCAGUUCAGGGGUGCUUCAUUUUUUUCUUCUCUUUUGUACUAUAAAAGUUCAGAGCAAGGCAGAGAGUAACAAAUUUAUCGAGACCUUCAACUUGAUAACUUUAUGCAAGAUAGUGCACUUAUUUCAAGUAUAUCCAGAGAGGGAAUCUAAUUUACCAGAGUAAACUAACUAGUUCUCUUUUUCUGCUCGACGUGCGUUUCAAAUCGUUGAAGGAUCCCUGUAAGACUGGAAUAUAUAAUGUCAGAUAUGAUUGUUGGUAAGUUAAUUAUAAGGAAAAUGUUAUGAGCACAUCAAUUUGUGUAGGUUUAAACUAGAGUGCUUCAGAAAAUUCUGAACAUAUUUUAUGGUGUUCAAUCUCUUAUGUAGGGGCCGGGGUUGACAAGACUCACAUAGUUUAGGUUGUAAUUGAUAGUUUAAAUGCGUUUCUAUGCAUUAUCCCUUUAUUAUAAUACAUAAUAUUACUUAUUUUCAAGUUAUUAAUCCCGUUUUUAUGUUAUAGUAAUAUGAAGUUGUCUUUCAAGUUUCAAGUGAUGGACUUGUGUAUAUGCCAUUUUUAUAAUUCGGAAUCCACACAUUGGUUGUUGGUCUCUUGAUAUGGCAGUGGACGAUUCAACUGUUGGUCGCUUGUAUGGACUGAACUAGCUUUUGGGGUUGAGUCAAAUCAAGUGAGAUAUCUUUACAUGGUACUAGAGCCAAGUCUUUCCCUAUUUAGAUCCCUAUAUUAUAUUAUCCGUGCUCCAGUUGGCAGUCUGGGUGUGCGAGUGUUAAGAGUAAGAAUCACAUUGAUUGGGAUUAUUACUAAGAAUCAGCAAGUGGCACAAGAUAAAAAAAGUUGAGACAGGAGGAAAUGCUAAGGACCCAGCUGCUACAACAAACUCCAACAGCGGUCCCAUUCAGAUGGGAGGACCACUUCUAACUCAGAAGUGGUGGCUAAGGAAGAUCUGAUGACAAAAUGAGGAAACUCAAUCUAGAAAGACGACAAAAGAACAUUUAUGAAAAAGCAGGACCCCCAAGUGGGACGGACCAG
Molecule: long non-coding RNA, 2351 nt
Filed under: Solanum tuberosum (potato)
Lineage: Eukaryota; Viridiplantae; Streptophyta; Magnoliopsida; Solanales; Solanaceae
Description: long non-coding RNA (STUB_LNC011849)
Source: RNAcentral